GAAGUUCGUGCCUUUUGCAGUGGGGAGGAGCCUGGCCCUUCCUCUUCCUGGGUGUUACCUGGAAUUCAAUCUGCCAGGUGGGAAGCAUGUACUAACGAGACUCUCAGUCUUCCUUUGUGGAGAGUCCCUGUUUCCUUUUCUUUUCCCUUUUCACCCAAUAAAUUCCUUUUUUCUCCCCUUUUAAAUUAUAUGUGAGCCUUUUUUCAUGAUCAUGUGACGAGGACCCUGUCUUUAGCUGAGCUACGGAGAGAGUCCUGCAACACCUUCACGUAGACAUUCUUUCUCUCAGGAACUCAGGAAUGAAAGCUUUGUGGGAACAUCACUUCACAAUCAUUGAAGAAGUGGGAAAGAAACUCUGGAAGUUUCUAGUUGGCAAUUAAGUGCUCUGGCCACACUUCACUUCUGCUCACAACUCAUUGGUCAGAACUAGUCACAAGGCACCAUCCCACCACAAGAAUGCCAGAAAAGUUCAUAGUUCCAUCUGUACAAAAGGAGAAUGGAGCUAUUCUGGAGAGAGAAUGGCAGUGGAUUAAAAGUUCUGAACCUGCCUGGGUCUCAAUCACAGAAACCUGAAACAGCCAUUGGACCCCCAUUGCUAAUCCCUGUGCAGUCUGUAGUCACACCUGGAGUGUCAGCUUUUAUAGGUGGAGAAACAUAAGAAAGCUCUGUGGGUCUUAUGGUGCAUGUAACAUUCUGGAGAAGCUUUUGGGUCCUCAUUCCAUGUUGGCUACCACUGCUAAGAUUUGAGAAAGUCCAUGCAUGGGAGCAGGACAAAGAGAAAUAAUCUGAUCAUCCCUAAGAGGUUUCAAGUCACUUUUGAUAAAACUACAUCUACUUUAACAUUCCAAUAUCACAUCUGACUCUAAAUGGAAUCUUUACACCACCACCACCACCACUCGCUGGCCAGGAUUUGCUUACGUACGAGAACGAAGCAUAGACUGAGAAGCCUAGAAGUUCACCUGUUUUUAUGGGCAGUAAGAAGAAAGAUGGCUUGAUGGUGCCAAUUACCCAGCUACCUGUCCACUGAUCAGGGAGCUUAACAUAAGCUCUGUGUCCACAUAUCCAGUAUAACCUGGUGGGUACUGUCCAGUCCCAGUGGAAUUCUGGGUGGGCCCAAACAGUCUGCAACUUUGGAAAUUUACUUCUGUGUAAUUGGAACUUCACCAUGUAACUUUUUGUAGUACCAUUAUACAGCUUUUGCUCAAGACAACUAAGCCGCGCUACAGGAUGAGUGAAUCUUUUUCCUUUUCUAGCUAUGCAAUACUGUCCAAUAAUUGAGACUUUUAGAAUCUAAAAAUUGUCAGGCUGGUUCUUUUGGGCUGGGAAUUCAUCAGGAACUGGAUCUGUAGGAACUAAUUCUCGGGCUUCCUAUGGCCAUUGAUUUCCUGUUAUGGUUUCUCCACAAACAUAACAUGAGGUGACAUUUAGAGACUGGGCUACAUGCUUGGCUAAUUGCAAAAACAAAUUUUUAAUUUUUCCUGGAAUCUCAGGUACUGGCACAUUUAGUUUAUCAUAGAAAGUCUGAAAUACUGGUUCUGGAUAGCGUCUUUGAACCUCUCCUUUUAUUAGGAUGCUUACACUAGGAUCUAGUCCUUUUCCAUUAAUGUCUAAUGUUACAUCUUUUCCUUUAUUUUACUUUGGGUCUGAGGGGUUUGUGAUUAUCAUUUCUAAAAGGUUGCAGCUCACACUCAUGCAGGAGGGGCUGACUUUUCUUUUUUGGAGUCAAACAGGAUCUUUUUUAUCUUCUUUUUAAGUAACCCAAAUGACACAAGACCAGUAUUGACACAUCUCACAUAAACAUGAUUUUUGACAGAUGUACUUAUUUUCUGCUGUGUAACUUUUUUCCCAAUCUAGAGAACCACAUCUUAUCUCAUGCUGUUUACUAUUAAUAGCGGCACAGGCAUCAAAUUUUAAGGUUACAGUUUUGGGGACCCCUCAUUCUUGUCUUCUAUUACUUUACUUGUGUCACUUAGAAAAGGACCAGUCCUUAAUUUUAUUUUAAAAACUGUGAUCAUGGGAGGCUUAAAGGGGUCAUAGCACACAUCGGGCUGGUCACUUCCUGUAUUACAUACUUUGGAUAGAAUAGCAUUAUACAAACAAGUUUCUUUUAGAGUCCUGGUAUACUUAUAAUAACCAUAAAAUAAUAGGACUGUAGCAAUCUUUUGUCCUACCUCAGUGACUUGAUGUAUGUACUGGGAACAGCCCUCAGUCUGAGGAAGGUCAGUUGAAGUCCUUACUGUACAAGUCCAAAUUUUAAGGAAAAUGAGUCCCGCGAUGAGUUUCCUCAUGCUUCGGCUGUGCAUGGACCAGUCAGCUUCUGGGUGUGACUGGAGCAGGGCUUGUCAUCUUCUUUAGAGUCACUUUGCAGGGGUUGGCGAAGCUGCUCCCAUCCACGUACAGCUCCCAGUCUACUGAUGUUUAAGGAUGGUCUCAGAGGUUGGGCCCACUAGAAUAAACUGAGUCCAAUACUUCUACACAGUUAUGUUUAACUGGGCUCUCUGACACUGGGAGCAAGGUGGUGGGGUUUAGGGUGUUGCAAACUUCAGUUCUUAUGUGGGGAUUUUCACAGAGCAAGCUUUGGUAUCUAGUUAGUCUAGCAUUCAUUAGCUAAUGGUGUCCUUUGGUUUUUAUUAAAAUCACCACAGCAUAGGGGGACUUUACGUGUAGGUUUUGGCUAAGAGUUAGCUUAUCUGCUUCUUGUGCUAACAGGGCUGUUGCUACCAGGGCCCUUGGACAAGGGGGUCAGCCUUUGGAAACCCCGUCUAGUUGUUUCGAGAGAUAGGCCACUGGCCUUGGCCAGGGCCCUAUAGUCUGGGUUAAAACUACAACUGCCUUUUUUUUUUUUUUUUUUGACACAUAGGGUGUAAAGAGUUUUGUCAGGUCAGGUAGCCUCAGGGCUGGGGCCAACAUGAGUUUUUCUUUUUAACUCAUGAAAAGCCCAUUGCUAUUGGUUGUAAUAGAUAUAGUUUAUCUAAUCUACAUUUUAUUGACUGUCAUCUACCAAAAUAUUGACUUAAACCUUGUAACUGUUUGAUUUGAAGCUUUAAAUUGAUCUGGUAUUCCCUGGGGGCUUCAAUUGCAUCUAAAUAAAUGCGAGAGUUGAAAGACCUAUAAGGGGCUUCUCUCACUUUACGAUGUCUUAUUAUUAUUAUUUUUCCUUCCUCUGGUAGAUGAAAUGACAGGGUGAAAGGGAUAGUCAAAUGGACUAAAGCACAAGUGCCACUCUAGUUAUUUGGCAGAGUGCCCAGUAAAGGUCCCCCACAAUACCAUCACACAUCUGCACAGGGAUGAACAAGGGCUGACUGAUUGAUAAGCUCUUGAAAAUUCUUAAGCUCACCGCAUCCCUUUAGGUCUCCAAGGAAUGCUAAGUUUCCUCCCUGCCGUGAGAGACAGGAAGUGAACUUAGUGUUGGGAGAUGGAAGCUGGAUGGCCCUCAGGGGCUGACCUUCAGGGACUUCGGGAUAUAGCAGAGAGAGCUUCACAUGACUUACUACUCCAGGAUGUAGAAUCCUGGAAAAGAGCUACCAUGCAGCCCACACCUGGUCGACUGGAGGACCACCUUAGUGGAAGGGAGACAAUCUGGGCCUCUGGCCUGCCAUGUGCACAAGCAUAACAAUUGCUUUUGUUUAACAUGCAGAUGGAAUAUUUGAUCCAUUUCAACCAGGCAUUUGCAUCUUGGUAUGUUGUCUUAAUUGCCAAAGUUUGUUUUAAGUCUUUAACUUUUAUGUUCCUCUAGUAAAAUGAAUGUUUCCCUUAGCACCAAUUUUUAUUAGUUUUUAGACCAAAGAAAGCUAAACACCAUUUUAUAUUUAAUAAUGUUUCUUGUAUGAUUUUCAUACCAGAUAUGCUAAAUUUUACCUUUAUAUUAGUGUGUUUUUAAUAUUAAACUUAACUUUAAUAAAACCUUGUCGACAUAUUUCUCCAGUUUUUCAUGUUUGACCAUAAGGUAAGAUUUUAUAGGCUUUUUUUAACCUUUUAUAAUUUUUGUUAAAGAGCAGUUUGAUGUUUUAUGAAAAAAACCUGUUGCAUUUUUACUUUCAUGUCCAGUUCACAGAAAAACUGGAUGAUACCUUUUAACUUUAGCUAAUAUGUUUACACACAGAAUUUUCUUUACAAUUAAUGUUUUAAAACUUGCUUAAACUUUUAAAACAGUUUUUUUAACCUUUUAAUGUAGGUAAAAAAUCCACAUUCUUAUGCCUCCUUAUAAUCUUUUUACCAAAGGUAUAUUUUACUUUUUUAUACACUUUGCACAUAAACUGUUUCUUCAAUAGUACUCAGGAGGCCUUAUUACUUUUAAAUUAUACAACAUUCUUUGCAUAAAAAUUUUUAUAACAUUUUUUCUUUCACGACUUUCCCUGACAAUUCUUCAACAUGUCUUAACUUUCUGACUUAUUACAAACUUUUUUUUCUCUUUAAACCACCAGUUAAUUUAUUUCAGGACAAGAAUUUACCAUAUAACAGUCUUUUUACAUAAAUUUUUCCUCCCCCUCUUUUUUUUUGUUUGAAGAUAACCAUUCCUUUUUUUAAAGAGAACUUUCUUUAUAUCUUUGGACUAGACUGUUUAAGGCCACAAGAUUAGAAGUUACCAUAAUACAUGUUACACUGUUAACUUUUAGCAAUCUUCACUUUUGUUGAAAACCUUGUAAGUUUGAGAUGUCAAUUAUCCUUUGCUAUUAAUAAGACCUUGUUUAGUCUAAACUAACUUAGAAUUGGUAUAGAUGGCCUCUUUUUCUCUCUGCUGGUCUUUCCUUGCCUCUGCCAGCCACUUAUGCUGCUGUUCUCUUAACUACUGUAGUGGGAGGAAAGGGGGUCUAAAACCAGCUGUAACUGUCUAUGUACGAAAACUGGUCUGGGUACUUUGGCUUACCCAGGUUACCUUGUGCCGUACCUUUGAAACAAGGGACCUGUCCAGGCAUCCUUCUGAUGGCCAACCCACCUCUAAUGCUAGCCAGUCUAUUUCACACAAAGUUCUAAGUUUUCCUGGUGUCAUAGUAACACCGUAAUCUCCCUUAAAUUCUUUCUUGAAAUUUUUUUUUAACAUAGUUCUCAGUGGGGUGGGCUUACUUUGCACCUGACCCAUGUUUUUUUGAGAUAAAACACCAUGCUCACACAACACACACACCACAAACAAAGAAGAGGAAAGAGGGCACACACACACUUUUGCAAUUUACACAAAACCAAAAUCAAAACCAAAAUCAGAGAAAUCCAACAAAUCCAAGCCAGAUCAAAAACCUAAACCAAAGUAUCCAGCAAUUCAAGUCAAGUCAAAACCAGAACAAAGAUGCCAAUACAGGCAAACCGUGGGUGAUGAGGCCACGCUUCCACUCAGAUGGAGUGGGGCAAGUUCAAAAGACUAGUCUUACCAAGUCAAGCCAAGUCAAAACCAGAACAAAGAUGCCAGUACAGGCACACUGCGGGUGAUCAGGCCAUGCUUCCACUCAGGUGGAGUGGGGCAAGUUCAAAAGACUAGUCUUACCAAGUUUCAGAUGUCUGGACUCCAAGUGCCAGUUCCUUCCUGGUGUUCAGCCACUGUGUUUAUCCUCCGCGGGGGCCUGCCAAGCGCUGCUCUGGUGAGGCAUCCCACUGGGGCAUUUUCCUACCCAGGAGCGCUGUUUGGAUCGCGUCACUCAGGCUGGCUGGAGUCCCCCGCAGAGAUGCUCCACAGGGCACGUCUAAGCCGCCUAAGGUGCUGCCUCGGCAGUCCGUCAAUUACCUCACUUCCCGGUCAGGGAACCAAGAAAUGUAGCAGGACGAGCUGCAGACAAAACUUCUCAGACAUCGAGUUGUAGAAGGAAGGGCUUUAUUCAGCUGGUAGCAUCGGCAAGCUACUGCCUUAAAAUCCAAGCUCCCUGAGUGCACAGUUUCUGUCCCAUUUAAGGGCUCACAACACUAAAGAUUUUACAUGAAAGGGUCGUGAUUGAUUCAGUCAAGCAAGGGGUACGUGACAGGG
This 5950-nucleotide long non-coding RNA is filed under the name Homo sapiens (human). Its description in RNAcentral is "HSALNT0108540". Lineage: Eukaryota; Metazoa; Chordata; Mammalia; Primates; Hominidae. The record is from RNAcentral.